RNAcentral lists this long non-coding RNA (4096 nucleotides) under Nicotiana tabacum (common tobacco). RNAcentral's name for it is "long non-coding RNA (NTAB_LNC009117)". The record is from RNAcentral. Lineage: Eukaryota; Viridiplantae; Streptophyta; Magnoliopsida; Solanales; Solanaceae.
UAGAAACAACAAUUAACAACAAGGAGCAAACAUGUAAUUACACCGUAAAGUAAGCAGAACACAGUUUAUGUCCAGCGAAACCACAUAAGGGAAAUCAAGUAACAACCCAAUAAAAUAACCUCUUUUACACAAGUUUAUACAAGACUUUCCUUGAGGUGCCACACCUGCUAAUUACAAUCACGGGUCCCAAAUCACGAACCCAAAUCACUUGGCAUCUUGUGCCCACAUUACAAAUCACAUCCAUACAGACAACUCGCGUGCUGAAUAGACAACUCACAUGCCAAUACCAUUAAUACCUCAGAUCUGCACGGAUAACUGACGUGCUAAGAGAGUGACAAUAUCUCAUAUCUGCACGGACAACUCACAUGGUAGUAAUUACAUACCUCAUAACCGCACGGAUAACUCACGUGCCAAUAGUAGCAAUAUCUCAUAUCCACACGGACAACUCACAUGCCAAUAAUACAACUCAUGCACAGAAGGUAGGUAUACAAGAAUACAUGUAAAUGAUCAACAAACAUCAAGGUUCAUAUUCCUAGACUAACGUAAGCGAUGAAUUACGGUGUAUGCUUGUGCAACUGUACUAUCACGGCUCAAGUCAACAAGUAAGAUCAGAGACAACAAAUGGCACAUAGGAAAAAACACAACAAAACUGUAAUAUGCAUGACUCACACAAAGUAGGCACACCACUACACAAAUACCAUUAAUAACAAACCCAUCAGGCCAUCACAAUUUAUCAUAAAUCAUCCCCGACAUAGCCCCGCUUGUCUCGCCGCAUGCACAACAAUCAAGUGCGAACACCCCGGCAAUCCUCUCAAUAAUACCACGUGUGCCACAAAUAUAACAACACAUCAUAACAACUCACAGCACAUGUGCCCAUAUGACCCAAUAUUUCCUUAGGAACCAUUCUGUUACCAAAACCACACAUAGCCCUCGGCUCAACAACACUUAAUACAACAACAUUAACAAUAACACGAGAGUACUACAAGUAAAUCAACACAAAAAUUAUAAAAAUACAAUGAAACAGAAGAAUGAGCUCACGAUGAAAGACAUAACAAUUAAUAAUGGCUUCAAAUAAGAAAAACUAAAAAACGAGAGAGAUAAUGUGUACAACGAUGUUAAAUAACAAUAACUCAACAAUAGGAGAGAUAACAUAUAACAAUAAUUUCAAUUAAUAAUAACCCAACAAUAGGAGAGAUAACAUGUAACAACGAUUUCAAGUAAGGAUAAAUCACAAUGGAAGAGAUAAGAUGUAACAAUGACUUCAAAUAAGGAUAAGUCAACAAUGGAAGAGAUAAUAUGGCAAUAAAAGAGGAAACAACUUCAAUUAAAGCAUAUAAGAGUAUAAUUGGCAAUAAAGGGUAGAACGUGAACCAAUCAACUUCAAAUAAGGCAUGUAAGAGUAAAUUUAACAAUGGAGGAUAUACAUGAUAAGGCGACUUCUUUUUAAUAUACAUAAGAAACCUAAGAGUCUAAAACAGUCAAAUUUCCGUAUAUAAGCCGUGUAUACACUUGUCACCUCGUGUACAAGUCUUUCACAUAGUUCAAAUAGUGUAAACAAACCAAUCCUUACGGGUUAGUUCCCCCACACAACGUUAGGUAAGAUACAUACCUCAAAAUCCUUCAAUCAACACUCUAAAAUAGAUUUCCUUUACAAUUCACCUCCGCUCGGCUAAAAUCUAACCAAAAUCGAUAUAAUAACAUCAAAUAAUGCAAGAGAAAAUAAUUACAAUAAAUAAAUCUAUGAUCUUUGCAAAAUUCUUCAAAUCCCAACCCCGGGCUCGCCCGGUCAAAACCCGAGUCCAAGGGUAGAUGACUACACAUAACCCCACGAGUCUAUACAUGUGUGGUGUUUCUAAAUCCGAGUCCAAAUCGACUCGCAAAACUCAAAUUUUCAUUUUUCAAAAUAUAGGCAAAGUUUCUCAAAAUUUCACUUUGAUUAUCAUAAUUUUGAUGUUUAAUUUCAUAUAUAAUCAUGUAAAAUAGUUGGAAAUUGAUAAAAAUCACUUACCUAAUGAUUGUAGAUAAAAAUCCCUUUUCAAAAUUGCUUUGGUAUUUUAUUUAUUGGAUUAACGAAUAUAGCUUGAUUGAUAAAUCUGUGAGCUUUGAUUUUAUAAUUCUUAUUAAAAAUAUUUCAUUAGGAGUGGUUAAGAACGCUGACGUGAGAUUUGUUCAUAGUAAAGUUACUGACAAAUUUAAUAACGCUACCAAUAUAUCUUGAAAAUUAAUGUUAAGAAAAAAUUAAAUAUACGAAUAUAUUAUAAAAAUUGAUAAGGUGGGUUGCUCUGAUGGUAAGCACCCUCCACUUCCAACCAAGAGGUUGUGAGUUCGAGUUACCCCAAGAGCAAGGUGGGGAGUUUUUGGAGGGAAGGAUGCUGAGGGUCAUUUGGAAACAGUCUCUCUACCCCAGGGUAGGAGUAAGGUCUGCGUACACACUACCCUCCCCAGACCCCACUAGUGGGAUUAUACUAGGUUGUUAUUGUUGUUGUAUUAUAAAAAUAAUAAAUAAAAUAAUAUUAAGUUAUUUUAGUUAUAAAUAAAAUACUUAGGUAAAAAUAUAUUAUAUAGUAUAUAAUAUAGAAAGUAUUACAUAAAUAUGAAGAUCUAUAUAAUAUCAAGGGUAUAAUAGACUUUUCAAGUAAAAAUAUUAUAAUAUCUGACAAAUGUAACUUUUGUGAUAACUAGAGCAAAGUAAAAUAAUUUUUGUGUAACAAAAGAAAGAAAAAUGACUUUUGAGUAAUAAUCACAAAGUUAAAUAAUUUUAACGUAACAAAAAAAAGUAACUUUUGGGUAACAAACACAAAAGUUCAAUGAAAAUCGAUAAAACUAACUCUAAUCUUCCUUCACAUACAUAUGAAAAGAAAGUCAUUGUAUUGAUUCAUCAACUUACUUUAACCUACACUCACCAUAGAUAUGUGAACUCAUGCAACUGUUUCACUUGAUCAAGUGCUAGGAAUUUACUAAUUCAAUUUUAUAUAUUAGUGACACUAAGAAAAAUGUUAAAAGAAUAAUUAAAACGUUAAUUUGAUAGAUAAAAUAUAUACCGUUAUGAAAAUUAUAUAGAAUACUAUUCUCUUCGUCUCAAUUUAUAUGAAGUGGUUCAGAUUAUAAGGAUCAAAACACCUAUAAUAAUUAACUAUGUGAAUUCAAACAUAAAUUUUUAAAACUUUUAAUUUAAAAAUUACAUCAAGAAUACUAUUAUACAUUAACUUAGUUAUUAAUUCAAAAUAUUUAAAAAGAAGUGAGAAAUUGUAGUCAAAGAAAAAAUUAUUUUCCAAUAAUGAUAUUUCAGGUAAAUUAAGACGGAGGGAUUAUUAUUAGUGAAAUCAAAUAUAAUGACACAUUUUGAAAUGAAAAUGCUAUCUAUAAGUUAAAACUGGUGGAGCAUUAAACAAUAUUUGGUCAGUAGAAUCUACAUUCUUUAUAAGAUUAAUACUAAUCUAACCAUUGUAAUAACAUCUUAACUAACUUACUUCCAAAACUGCCAGCUUUGCAUGAAACAAUACUCAUCAAAUCUCUCUCUCUCUCUCUCUCUAUCUGACACGCGCGCGCGCGCGCGCGCACACACGCACACACAGACAGAGCAGUAUAGCUAGAGAUGAAAACUGAUGUUGAGUUUUUUGUUUUGUUUGCUCUGUAAAUGCUUCUUCAGGAAAGAGAAACAGUGAACGAAAAAAGUUAGUUUUUCUGAAGCAGCAAUGACUGCAAAAAUACAAAAAAAGCCACAACAGACUCUUCUUUUUGCAGCCACAACUCCCCCCCCCCCCCUUCUUUUCAAGAAUUGGGUUUUAGUCACUUUCUUCAAAUAUUGAAGUCUCUUGAGCUCUUUUAUUGAAGAUAAGUAAAAAAAAGAGAAUCUUUCUUUAAACUCAGCAUAUUCAGCACAUAACUAAUGGUGGUUUUCUACUGAAAGGGGUUGAAGUUACCAAAUUGGUUUGCUGUUUCCUGUGGCUGAUAUUGAUUGGGGUAGUGGUCUGAGCUGAGCUGACCCCACGUGAGAAUUCUUGCACUAGCUUAAAAAAAAUCAAAUCUUGUUUUUGGAUAUAUACAGUGUUCUUGAACUGUUUCAUUUCCAAUUUUGGCUUUCCCUGAGAGGAUG